RNAcentral lists this ribosomal RNA (253 nucleotides) under uncultured bacterium. RNAcentral's name for it is "partial 16S ribosomal RNA". It matches the Rfam family "Bacterial small subunit ribosomal RNA", at positions 524 to 776 of the family's 1533-position model. The record is from RNAcentral.
UACAGAGGUCUCGAGCGUUCAACGGAUUCAUUGGGCUUAAAGCGUACGUAGGCGGGUGUGCAGGCGUCGUGUGAAAGCCCUCGGCUCAACCGAGGAAUUGCACGGCGAACCGCACAUCUUGAGACAAGUAGGGGCGGUCGGAACGAUAGGUGGAGCGGUGAAAUGCGUUGAUAUCUAUCGGAACGCCGAUGGUGAAGACAGGCCGCUGGGCUUGUUCUGACGCUGAGGUACGAAAGCAUGGGUAGCGAACGGG